This 497-nucleotide ribosomal RNA is filed under the name uncultured bacterium. Its description in RNAcentral is "partial 16S ribosomal RNA". It matches the Rfam family "Bacterial small subunit ribosomal RNA", at positions 28 to 507 of the family's 1533-position model. The record is from RNAcentral.
GAUGAACGCUGGCGGCGUGCCUAAUACAUGCAAGUCGAGCGAACAGACGAGGAGCUUGCUCCUCUGACGUUAGCGGCGGACGGGUGAGUAACACGUGGAUAACCUACCUAUAAGACUGGGAUAACUUCGGGAAACCGGAGCUAAUACCGGAUAAUAUAUUGAACCGCAUGGUUCAAUAGUGAAAGACGGUUUUGCUGUCACUUAUAGAUGGAUCCGCGCCGCAUUAGUUAGUUGGUAAGGUAACGGCUUACCAAGGCAACGAUGCGUAGCCGACCUGAGAGGGUGAUCAGCCACACUGGAACUGAGACACGGUCCAGACUCCUACGGGAGGCAGCAGUAGGGAAUCUUCCGCAAUGGGCGAAAGCCUGACGGAGCAACGCCGCGUGAGUGAUGAAGGUCUUCGGAUCGUAAAACUCUGUUAUUAGGGAAGAACAAAUGUGUAAGUAACUAUGCACGUCUUGACGGUACCUAAUCAGAAAGCCACGGCUAACUACGUG